Rhododendron vialii is the source of this 108-nucleotide small nucleolar RNA. RefSeq annotates it as small nucleolar RNA snoR100. The record is from RefSeq and is a predicted model, not a curated record. The transcript has a single exon. Lineage: Eukaryota; Viridiplantae; Streptophyta; Magnoliopsida; Ericales; Ericaceae.
CAAUAAAGGAAGUAUGGUAAUGUGCACGGAAGUUGAAUUGGAUCUCUAAGCCUAACCUCUCUGAUGUCAUUUGGAUUUGAUUUGGGAGCAUGGUUCAGCAGCAAUACA